GACGAACGCUGGCGGCGUGCUUAACACAUGCAAGUCGAACGGAAAGGCCCUGCUUUUGUGGGGUGCUCGAGUGGCGAACGGGUGAGUAACACGUGAGUAACCUGCCCUUGACUUUGGGAUAACUUCAGGAAACUGGGGCUAAUACCGGAUAGGAGCUCCUGCUGCAUGGUGGGGGUUGGAAAGUUUCGGCGGUUGGGGAUGGACUCGCGGCUUAUCAGCUUGUUGGUGGGGUAGUGGCUUACCAAGGCUUUGACGGGUAGCCGGCCUGAGAGGGUGACCGGCCACAUUGGGACUGAGAUACGGCCCAGACUCCUACGGGAGGCAGCAGUGGGGAAUAUUGCACAAUGGGCGGAAGCCUGAUGCAGCAACGCCGCGUGCGGGAUGACGGCCUUCGGGUUGUAAACCGCUUUCGCCUGUGACGAAGCGUGAGUGACGGUAAUGGGUAAAGAAGCACCGGCUAACUACGUGCCAGCAGCCGCGGUGAUACGUAGGGUGCGAGCGUUGUCCGGAUUUAUUGGGCGUAAAGGGCUCGUAGGUGGUUGAUCGCGUCGGAAGUGUAAUCUUGGGGCUUAACCCUGAGCGUGCUUUCGAUACGGGUUGACUUGAGGAAGGUAGGGGAGAAUGGAAUUCCUGGUGGAGCGGUGGAAUGCGCAGAUAUCAGGAGGAACACCAGUGGCGAAGGCGGUUCUCUGGGCCUUUCCUGACGCUGAGGAGCGAAAGCGUGGGGAGCGAACAGGCUUAGAUACCCUGGUAGUCCACGCUGUAAACGGUGGGUACUAGGUGUGGGGUCCAUUCCACGGGUUCCGUGCCGUAGCUAACGCUUUAAGUACCCCGCCUGGGGAGUACGGCCGCAAGGCUAAAACUCAAAGGAAUUGACGGGGCCCCGCACAAGCGGCGGAGCAUGCGGAUUAAUUCGAUGCAACGCGUAGAACCUUACCUGGGUUUGACAUGGAUCGGGAGUGCUCAGAGAUGGGUGUGCCUCUUUUGGGGUCGGUUCACAGGUGGUGCAUGGCUGUCGUCAGCUCGUGUCGUGAGAUGUUGGGUUAAGUCCCGCGACGAGCGCAACCCUUGUUCACUGUUGCCAGCACGUUAUGGUGGGGACUCAGUGGAGACCGCCGGGGUCAACUCGGAGGAAGGUGGGGAUGACGUCAAGUCAUCAUGCCCCUCAUGUCCAGGGCUUCACGCAUGCUACAAUGGCUGGUACAGAGAGUGGCGAGCCUGUGAGGGUGAGCGAAUCUCGGAAAGCCGGUCUCAGUUCGGAUUGGGGUCUGCAACUCGACCUCAUGAAGUCGGAGUCGCUAGUAAUCGCAGAUCAGCAACGCUGCGGUGAAUACGUUCCCGGGGCU
RNAcentral lists this ribosomal RNA (1346 nucleotides) under uncultured bacterium. RNAcentral's name for it is "partial 16S ribosomal RNA". It matches the Rfam family "Bacterial small subunit ribosomal RNA", at positions 28 to 1381 of the family's 1533-position model. The record is from RNAcentral.